AUUGAACGCUGGCGGCAGGCCUAACACAUGCAAGUCGAACGGUAGCACAGAGAGCUUGCUCUCGGGUGACGAGUGGCGGACGGGUGAGUAACGUCUGGGAAACUGCCCGAUGGAGGGGGAUAACUACUGGAAACGGUAGCUAAUACCGCAUAACGUCGCAAGACCAAAGUGGGGGACCUUCGGGCCUCACACCAUCGGAUGUGCCCAGAUGGGAUUAGCUAGUAGGUGGGGUAAUGGCUCACCUAGGCGACGACCCCUAGCUGGUCUGAGAGGAUGACCAGCCACAGUGGAACGGAGACACGGUCCAGACUCCUACGGGAGGCAGCAGUGGGGAAUAUUGCACAAUGGGCGCAAGCCUGAUGCAGCCAUGCCGCGUGUAUGAAGAAGGCCUUCGGGUUGUAAAGUACUUUCAGCGGGGAGGAAGGCGGUGAAGUUAACAGCUUCACCGAUUGACGUUACCCGCAGAAGAAGCACCGGCUAACUCCGUGCCAGCCGCCGCCGUAA
This 504-nucleotide ribosomal RNA is filed under the name uncultured bacterium. RNAcentral's name for it is "partial 16S ribosomal RNA". It matches the Rfam family "Bacterial small subunit ribosomal RNA", at positions 29 to 523 of the family's 1533-position model. The record is from RNAcentral.